GGUCUCAUGGUGUAGUGGAAAGCACGUUCGUUCGGGCCACUGAAAUGGAAGACCUGCGUUCGAUUCACAGUGAGAUUG
Molecule: transfer RNA, 78 nt
Filed under: Pseudocercospora pini-densiflorae CBS 125139
Lineage: Eukaryota; Fungi; Ascomycota; Dothideomycetes; Mycosphaerellales; Mycosphaerellaceae
Description: tRNA-Und (NNN) (tRNA-Und-NNN-1-1)
Source: RNAcentral